ACUCCUACGGGAGGCAGCAGUGGGGAAUGUUGCACAAUGGGGGAAACCCUGAUGCAGCCAUGCCGCGUGUGUGAAGAAGGCCUUCGGGUUGUAAAGCACUUUCAGCGAGGAGGAAAGGUUGGCGCCUAAUACGUGUCAACUGUGACGUUACUCGCAGAAGAAGCACCGGCUAACUCCGUGCCAGCAGCCGCGGUAAUACA
This 200-nucleotide ribosomal RNA is filed under the name uncultured bacterium. RNAcentral describes it as "partial 16S ribosomal RNA". It matches the Rfam family "Bacterial small subunit ribosomal RNA", at positions 335 to 527 of the family's 1533-position model. The record is from RNAcentral.